UACGAAGGGGGCUAGCGUUGCUCGGAAUUACUGGGCGUAAAGGGCGCGUAGGCGGACAGUUUAGUCAGAGGUGAAAGCCCAGGGCUCAGCCUUGGAAUUGCCUUUGAUACUGGCUGUCUUGAGUACGGGAGAGGUGUGUGGAACUCCGAGUGUAGAGGUGAAAUUCGUAGAUAUUCGGAAGAACACCAGUGGCGAAGGCGACACACUGGCCCGUUACUGACGCUGAGGCGCGAAAGCGUGGGGAGCAAACAGG
This 253-nucleotide ribosomal RNA is filed under the name uncultured bacterium. RNAcentral describes it as "partial 16S ribosomal RNA". It matches the Rfam family "Bacterial small subunit ribosomal RNA", at positions 524 to 776 of the family's 1533-position model. The record is from RNAcentral.